UAAAAUAUGCCCUUCGGAGCAGUUGCAGGACUCCCACCACCUGCUCUGCAUAUACUCCAGAAAAGCGCUCUCUAAUCUCUGGGUUUGAGUAAAGAACUUUAUUAAAGAAAGGAAUAUGGCCACAGAAUUCCUAGGGUGAGAAGCAGGAGCACAGCAGGUGGCGGCCAAGAAGCCAUGAAAACAUGAGGGAGAGGAGUUGGGAUUCUUUGCAAGACUCUGCGUGAUAAGCAGAAUACAUGUGGCCUACAGCUGUCCCUUAAAGAAGAUGAUGUUUUUCAUCUCCAAGAAUUAAGGGCAGCUUUCCAUCUAAUGAACUUGGAAGACUCUCUUCAUGAGUCAUUUUUGUUAUGAACUAGAUCUCUCCAGCUAUCUUUUGUUUUUCUUUUUUUUCUAAAACCGACUCCAUCCGGACCAGCGUUUCUCAAGAGUUCUUCUAAAGUUUGCAGUAGGAAAUGAGACUUAUUUCUUUUAUGCUUUAUUGAAUGUGGACUUUAUUAACUCUUGGAUGAGAUCUCUCAGUGUUGCAUCAAUCUCAGGAAGACCUGCUGGACUUAGAGAAACUAAGAAGGAAGGGGGGAUAGAAAGGGAGGAAGAGAGACACCUGUAGACCUGCCUCCCCACCCUGCAGUGACUAAGAACUGAAGAAGAGUGCUGCUGAAAGCAUAUUAAAGGCAAGAUCCCGGGCAAAUAUUCAAAGUGUACUUAGAGAGUGGAUUAUUAUGCCAAUGUUAGGUUCUCUUUCCAGUCAGCUCGAAAUGUAUGUGGCUCAAACACAACAGAAAUCGAUUUCUUAUUUGUAUAGGAGUUUGAAAC
This is a long non-coding RNA of Erinaceus europaeus (western European hedgehog), 813 nucleotides long. RefSeq lists it as uncharacterized. The record is from RefSeq and is a predicted model, not a curated record. The transcript has 3 exons. Lineage: Eukaryota; Metazoa; Chordata; Mammalia; Eulipotyphla; Erinaceidae.